Molecule: ribosomal RNA, 1143 nt
Filed under: Myroides gitamensis
Lineage: Bacteria; Pseudomonadati; Bacteroidota; Flavobacteriia; Flavobacteriales; Flavobacteriaceae
Description: bacterial SSU rRNA
Rfam family: Bacterial small subunit ribosomal RNA
Source: RNAcentral
UUUUGAGUAGCGGCGCAUGGGUGAGUAACGCGUAUGCAACCUACCUGUAUCACAGGGGAAUAGCCCGGAGAAAUUCGGAUUAAUGCUCCAUGGUUUAUCGAUAUGGCAUCAUAUUGAUAAUAAAGAUUUAUCGGUAUAAGAUGGGCAUGCGUAUCAUUAGCUAGUUGGUGUGGUAACGGCAUACCAAGGCUACGAUGAUUAGGGGUCCUGAGAGGGAGAUCCCCCACACUGGUACUGAGACACGGACCAGACUCCUACGGGAGGCAGCAGUGAGGAAUAUUGGUCAAUGGAGGCAACUCUGAACCAGCCAUGCCGCGUGCAGGAUGACGGUCCUAUGGAUUGUAAACUGCUUUUGUACAGGAAGAAAUGUCCCUACGAGUAAGGACUUGACGGUACCGUAAGAAUAAGGAUCGGCUAACUCCGUGCCAGCAGCCGCGGUAAUACGGAGGAUCCGAGCGUUAUCCGGAAUUAUUGGGUUUAAAGGGUUCGUAGGCGGUUUAGUAAGUCAGUGGUGAAAUUUCCUAGCUUAACUAUGACACUGCCAUUGAUACUGCUGAACUUGAAUAGUAUGGAAGUAACUAGAAUAUGUAGUGUAGCGGUGAAAUGUUUAGAUAUUACAUGGAAUACCCAUUGCGAAGGCAGGUUACUACGUAUUUAUUGACGCUGAUGAACGACAGCGUGGGUAGCGAACAGGAUUAGAUACCUUGGUAGUCCACGCCGUAAACGAUGGAUACUAGCUGUUCGGUCUUCGGUUUGAGUGGCUAAGCGAAAGUGAUAAGUAUCCCUCUUGAGGGAGUACGUUCGCAAGAAUGAAACUCAAAGGAAUUGACGGGGGCCCGCACAAGCGGUGGAGCAUGUGGUUUAAUUCGAUGAUACGCGAGGAUCCUUACCAGGGCUUAAAUGUAGAUUGACAGAUUUGGAGAUAGAUUUUUCUUCGGACAAUUUCCAAGGUGCUGCAUGGUUGUCGUCAGCUCGUGCCGUGAGGUGUCAGGUUAAGUCCUAUACCGAGCGCAACCCCUAUUGUUAGUUACCAUCGCGUAAUGGCGGGAACUCUAUCAAGACUGCCGGUGCAAACCGUGAGGAAGGUGGGGAUGACGUCAAAUCAUCACGGCCCUUACGUCCUGGGCUACACACGUGCUACAA